RNAcentral lists this ribosomal RNA (717 nucleotides) under Triticum aestivum (bread wheat). Its description in RNAcentral is "partial small subunit ribosomal RNA". Lineage: Eukaryota; Viridiplantae; Streptophyta; Magnoliopsida; Poales; Poaceae. The record is from RNAcentral.
AUGGCGGCGGCGCAGCCAAAUCUCGUCGGCGGCGAGCGAUUGAGCCAAGGCGGCACUGGCGAGGAGGGCGGUGGACCCUCAGAGGUGGACAAAUGGCUAGGCAGCUCGAGCUUCCCGGCGCAGCGGUUGCAGCAGCCAUCACCGCCCGCGGCUCAUGUGGAUCCGGCGAGCUCAGAUCCGGAAGUCCGCGCGGCCAGGGCAGUGGCGAAGCGCAUCCACGCUGAUCCAGCAGGCGGCCACCAUUGGGCGUCGUCCUUUGGUGGAGUGAGCUUAGAUGAUGCGAGUUGGGACUUGAGGCUACAUUUUCAAGUAAUAGAUAAUAUGGAGAAAAAGUAUUCAGUGUCCUCAGAUAUCAGUUAUCUGGCCAUAUUAGCAUUGGUUGAGUUGGAGGGCUAUGGAAUGGAUGCAUUUCUAACUUAUGUAAAGGAAGAGGGAAAGGGGCUGGAGGGUGUGGAGGCCCUGGAUAGUGAGGAGGCAUUAGAGGAAAUGCUUGACUUAUUUGUUGAUAAUAAGGUACUGAACAUCAGUGUCAGAAAAGCUACUGAUCCAAGCCCAGCAGAUGAGGAACAGAUCCCCAUUGAUCAUGUUGGUGAACCUGUUGUUUACAGAGUUUCACAAGAAGGUGUUCUGUACCCUGCCCCUGAUGAUCCCUACAUAAACACACAGCAAAGCAGCAAUUUUAACAAGGGGAAAAAGUUGUGGAAGAAGAAGAUGUAG